CGGAAUGAGUACACUUUAAAUCCUUUAACGAGGAUCUACUGGAGGGCAAGUCUGGUGCCAGCAGCCGCGGUAAUUCCAGCUCCAGUAGCGUAUAUUAAUGCUGCUGCAGUUAAAAAGCUCGUAGUCGUAUCUAGGGUACGGGCGGAGGGUCCCUCGUAAGGGGUGUACUCUGCGACUCGUCCUCCCUCGCGGUUAGACGCCCGGUUCUCUUAACUGAGUGCCGGGUGCGGCCGGAACGUUUACUUUGAAAAAAUUGGAGUGUUCAACGCAGGCGUAUCAGCCUGGACAGUAGAGCAUGGAAUAAUGGAAUAGGAUCUCGGUUCUAUUGCGUUGGUUUUAAGAACUCGAGGUAAUGAUUGAGAGGGACUGACGGGGGCAUUCGUAUUGCGGUGUGAGAGGUGAAAUUCUAGGAUCGCCGCAAGACGACCGGUAGCGAAAGCGUUUGCCAAGAAUGUCUUCAUUGAUCAAGAACGAAAGUUAGAGGUUCGAAGGCGAUCAGAUACCGCCCUAGUUCUAACCAUAAACUAUGCCGACCGGCGAUUCGCCGGCGUUAUAUCAACGACACGGCAAGCAGCUUCCGGGAAACCAAAGUUUUUGGGUUCCGGGGGAAGUAUGGUUGCAAAGCUGAAACUUAAAGGAAUUGACGGAAGGGCACCACCAGGAGUGGAGCCUGCGGCUUAAUUUGACUCAACACGGGAAAACUCACCCGGCCCGGACACAGUAAGGAUUGACAGAUUGAGAGCUCUUUCUUGAUUCUGUGGGGUGGUGGUGCAUGGCCCGUUCUUAGUUGGUGGAAUUGAUUUGUCUGGUUAAUUCCAAUAACGAACGAGACUCUGGCUUGCUAAAUAGUUGCGCCACCCGCCCAAGGUGGGCGACAACUUCUUAGAGGGACUAGUGGC
Molecule: ribosomal RNA, 899 nt
Filed under: Ophiothela mirabilis
Lineage: Eukaryota; Metazoa; Echinodermata; Ophiuroidea; Amphilepidida; Ophiotrichidae
Description: SSU rRNA
Rfam family: Eukaryotic small subunit ribosomal RNA
Source: RNAcentral